Molecule: ribosomal RNA, 657 nt
Filed under: Streptomyces sp. VITDDK1
Lineage: Bacteria; Bacillati; Actinomycetota; Actinomycetes; Kitasatosporales; Streptomycetaceae
Description: bacterial SSU rRNA
Rfam family: Bacterial small subunit ribosomal RNA
Source: RNAcentral
CGCGGCCUAUCAGCUUGUUGGUGGGGUAACGGCCUACCAAGGCGAUUACGGGUAGCCGGCCUGAGAGGGCGACCGGCCACACUGGGACUGAGACACGGCCCAGACUCCUGCGGGAGGCAGCAGUGGGGAAUAUUGCGCAAUGGGCGAAAGCCUGACGCAGCGACGCCGCGUGGGGGAUGACGGCCUUCGGGUUGUAAACCUCUUUUACCACCAACGCAGGCUCCGGGUUCUCUCGGGGUUGACGGUAGGUGGGGAAUAAGGACCGGCUAACUACGUGCCAGCAGCCGCGGUAAUACGUAGGGUCCGAGCGUUGUCCGGAAUUAUUGGGCGUAAAGAGCUCGUAGGCGGCGUGUCGCGUCUGCUGUGAAAGACCGGGGCUUAACUCCGGUUCUGCAGUGGAUACGGGCAUGCUAGAGGUAGGUAGGGGAGACUGGAAUUCCUGGUGUAGCGGUGAAAUGCGCAGAUAUCAGGAGGAACACCGGUGGCGAAGGCGGGUCUCUGGGCCUUACCUGACGCUGAGGAGCGAAAGCAUGGGGAGCGAACAGGAUUAGAUACCCUGGUAGUCCAUGCCGUAAACGUUGGGCGCUACGUGUGGGGACUUUCCACGGGUUUCCGCGCCGUAGCUAACGCAUUAAGCGCCCCGCCUGGGGAGUACGG